UUGCUUCAGCAACAGAUAUAUGGAAAUUGGAAUGAUACAGAGAAGAUUAGCAUGGCCCUGCACAAGGAUGACAUGCAAACUCAUGAAGCAUUCCAUAUUUUU
Nyctereutes procyonoides (raccoon dog) is the source of this 102-nucleotide small nuclear RNA. The record is from RefSeq and is a predicted model, not a curated record. Lineage: Eukaryota; Metazoa; Chordata; Mammalia; Carnivora; Canidae.